GAUGAACGCUGGCGGCGUGCCUAACACAUGCAAGUCGAGCGGACAGACGAGGCUCUUGCGGGGCUCACGUUAGGGGAGGGCGGGUGAAAAACACGAGUAUAACCUACCUAUCAGACUGAGAUCACUACGGGACAGCGGAUAUAACACCAGAGAAGAUAUUGAACCACGGGGGGCGUUGGAGAGAGACGGCUGUGCUGUCACUAAUAGAGGGUUCCGAGCCGUAUUAGCUGGUUGGUAAGGUAACGGCUUACCAAGGCUACGAUGCGUAGCCGACCUGAGAGGGUGAUCGGCCACACUGGAACUGAGACACGGUCCAGACUCCUACGGGAGGCAGCAGUAGGGAAUCUUCCGCAAUGGGCGAAAGCCUGACGGAGCAACGCCGCGUGAGUGAUGAAGGUCUUCGGAUCGUAAAGCUCUGUUAUUAGGGAAGAACAAAUGUGUAAGUAACUAUGCACGUCUUGACGGUACCGAAUAAGAAAGCCCCGGCUAACUACGUG
This 497-nucleotide ribosomal RNA is filed under the name uncultured bacterium. RNAcentral describes it as "partial 16S ribosomal RNA". It matches the Rfam family "Bacterial small subunit ribosomal RNA", at positions 28 to 507 of the family's 1533-position model. The record is from RNAcentral.